Molecule: ribosomal RNA, 451 nt
Filed under: uncultured Hyphomicrobiales bacterium
Lineage: Bacteria; Pseudomonadati; Pseudomonadota; Alphaproteobacteria; Hyphomicrobiales
Description: bacterial SSU rRNA
Rfam family: Bacterial small subunit ribosomal RNA
Source: RNAcentral
AGAGUUUGAUCCUGGCUCAGAGCGAACGCUGGCGGCAGGCCUAACACAUGCAAGUCGAAGCCCAGCAAUGGGAGUGGCAGACGGGAUAGUAACACGUGGGAACGCGCCCUUCGGUUCGGAAUAACUCAGGGAAACUUGAGCUAAUACCGGAUACGCCCUUACGGGGAAAGAUUUAUUGCCGAAGGAACGGCCCGCGUCCGAUUAGCUAGUUGGUGAGGGUAAUGGCUCACCAAGGCGACGAUCGGUAGCUGGUCUGAGAGGAUGACCAGCAUCACUGGGACUGAGACACGGCCCAGGCUCCUACGGGAGGCAGCAGUGGGGAAUAUUGGACAAUGGGCGCAAGCCCGAUCCAGCCAUGCCGCGUGGAUGAUGAAGGCCCUAGGGUUGUAAAGUCCUUUUAACGGGGAAGAUAAUGACGGUACCCGUAGAAUAAGCCCCGGCUAACUUCGUG